RNAcentral lists this ribosomal RNA (459 nucleotides) under uncultured bacterium. RNAcentral describes it as "partial 16S ribosomal RNA". It matches the Rfam family "Bacterial small subunit ribosomal RNA", at positions 338 to 795 of the family's 1533-position model. The record is from RNAcentral.
CCUACGGGUGGCAGCAGUGAGGAAUAUUGGUCAAUGGGCGAGAGCCUGAACCAGCCAAGUCGCGUGAAGGAUGAAGGAUCUAUGGUUUGUAAACUUCUUUUAUAUGGGAAUAAAGUGAAGUAUGUGUUCUUCUUUGCAUGUACCAUAUGAAUAAGCAUCGGCUAACUCCGUGCCAGCAGCCGCGGUAAUACGGAGGAUGCGAGCGUUAUCCGGAUUUAUUGGGUUUAAAGGGUGCGAAGGCGGGGGUGCACGUCGGUGUUAAAAUUGCGGGGUUCAACCCCGUACUGUAGUUGAAACUGCAUCCCUUGAGUGCGCGAGAGGUAUGCGGAAUGCGUGGUGUAGCGGUGAAAUGCAUAGAUAUCACGCAGAACUCCGAUUGCGAAGGCAGCAUACCGGCGCGUAACUGACGCUCAUGCACGAAAGCGUGGGUAUCGAACAGGAUUAGAUACCCCAGUAGUC